This 406-nucleotide ribosomal RNA is filed under the name uncultured bacterium. Its description in RNAcentral is "bacterial SSU rRNA". It matches the Rfam family "Bacterial small subunit ribosomal RNA", at positions 355 to 776 of the family's 1533-position model. The record is from RNAcentral.
UGGGGAAUAUUGGGCAAUGGGGGAAACCCUGACCCAGCAACGCCGCGUGAGGGAAGAAGGUUUUCGGAUUGUAAACCUCUGUCCUCAGGGACGAAUACAUGACGGUACCUGAGGAGGAAGCUCCGGCUAACUACGUGCCAGCAGCCGCGGUAAUACGUAGGGAGCAAGCGUUGUCCGGAAUUACUGGGCGUAAAGGGUGCGUAGGCGGUUGAUUAAGUCAGAUGUGAAAUCCCCGUGCUUAACAUGGGUGUUGCAUCUGAAACUGGUUAACUUGAGUGCAGGAGAGGAAAGCGGAAUUCCUAGUGUAGCGGUGAAAUGCGUAGAUAUUAGGAGGAACACCAGUGGCGAAGGCGGCUUUCUGGACUGUAACUGACGCUGAGGCACGAAAGCGUGGGGAGCAAACAGG